AAUUUGGCCCAGGGGAUUGAAUGAAGAAGAAGGCCUUCCACUGGCGGUGUCGACGCAUGGCUUCCCCCCUUCGAAUCAUGACAGGAUUCGAUUCGAUUCAUUUUUAGUCCAGGAAUGUGAGAGACGAAGGGCUCGAACGCCGCAAGUCGUUUCCGUUUUCGACUGUUGGCUUGCCUUGUAGGUAGGGCAGGGGCUUUUAGUUGCGGGAGGGAAGCCGAGUGGAACGUAUAGUUGAAGCAAGCAUAAAGGUUGUUGGCCGGUUCUGCAAUUUUCCGGAUUAACGUUACCAGUAAUAUCCAUUUCGAGACGCCGCUCUGGACGCAGCUUCUUUCACUGUUAUCUAUUGAGGAGCAAAGCAGCCUUGGAUUCACCAAUAUUCCUUGAAAGAAUGUCAUCGACUCUGGGGAGAGCAUGAGGCAUGUCCUCUAACAUGGUGUGAAUUAGAGUGCUGAAACUUAUGAUGCCAUACGCGGUCAAUCACUGCAAACCUUUGUAGCUCCAGACUUCUACAAAGAAUUCUUGUAAGUUAGACAGAAUGCUCGAUCGCCUGCAGGUACUGUGCUUCGAUUUGUUUCUCUGUGCUCUGUUUCAAGAUCUGCCUUGCAAGACACGUUGUAAUACAUACUGCAGCUUACGGAGCGUACCAGUUCAUAUUGCAUUGUACAUAUUCGAUUCCUGAAUUGCCAUUACUUUAGGAAUCGAAUAUGUACAAUGCAAUAAGCCAAAGAUAUUAGAAGUUGUAUCUUUAUUAACAGAUCACAUCACUUCCUGGGGUUUUUAUAGGUGCUCCAGAAAGUGAACCAUUCAAUAUGGAAACAUUUCAUUUACAACUGUUCAGUACUUUACCAAUUUUUCUAACCUCCUGUUGCAAGCACAGGCAUUCUGUUGGCUCCGGAGCAUGAAAGAGUAUUAUUUGUGUUGUAACCACAUCUCUCUUACUUUGUGCCUGUAGUUGCCAUCAGACUCUUUAAAGUUCGAAAAUUGAUUUUUAGAAAGAGAUUCAAAUGCAAUUAUAAAUUAAGAAGGACACUAGGUUUUUUUCUUUUUUCUUUUUUAAAGUUUUUUUUGACACCCAUAUCUUGACUAUUGCUUCUGUACAUUCAACUUAUUAAAUUCAACCGUCUACUUGUUCAUCAAA
This is a non-coding RNA of Physcomitrium patens, 1138 nucleotides long. The record is from RefSeq and is a predicted model, not a curated record. Lineage: Eukaryota; Viridiplantae; Streptophyta; Bryopsida; Funariales; Funariaceae.